This 802-nucleotide ribosomal RNA is filed under the name Streptomyces sp. Its description in RNAcentral is "bacterial SSU rRNA". It matches the Rfam family "Bacterial small subunit ribosomal RNA", at positions 67 to 883 of the family's 1533-position model. The record is from RNAcentral. Lineage: Bacteria; Bacillati; Actinomycetota; Actinomycetes; Kitasatosporales; Streptomycetaceae.
CGAUGAACCACAUUCGGUGGGGAUUAGUGGCGAACGGGUGAGUAACACGUGGGCAAUCUGCCCUUCACUCUGGGACAAGCCCUGGAAACGGGGUCUAAUACCGGAUACCACUCUCACAGGCAUCUGUGGGGGUUGAAAGCUCCGGCGGUGAAGGAUGAGCCCGCGGCCUAUCAGCUUGUUGGUGAGGUAACGGCUCACCAAGGCGACGACGGGUAGCCGGCCUGAGAGGGCGACCGGCCACACUGGGACUGAGACACGGCCCAGACUCCUACGGGAGGCAGCAGUGGGGAAUAUUGCACAAUGGGCGAAAGCCUGAUGCAGCGACGCCGCGUGAGGGAUGACGGCCUUCGGGUUGUAAACCUCUUUCAGCAGGGAAGAAGCGAAAGUGACGGUACCUGCAGAAGAAGCGCCGGCUAACUACGUGCCAGCAGCCGCGGUAAUACGUAGGGCGCAAGCGUUGUCCGGAAUUAUUGGGCGUAAAGAGCUCGUAGGCGGCUUGUCACGUCGGGUGUGAAAGCCCGGGGCUUAACCCCGGGUCUGCAUUCGAUACGGGCUAGCUAGAGUGUGGUAGGGGAGAUCGGAAUUCCUGGUGUAGCGGUGAAAUGCGCAGAUAUCAGGAGGAACACCGGUGGCGAAGGCGGAUCUCUGGGCCAUUACUGACGCUGAGGAGCGAAAGCGUGGGGAGCGAACAGGAUUAGAUACCCUGGUAGUCCACGCCGUAAACGGUGGGAACUAGGUGUUGGCGACAUUCCACGUCGUCGGUGCCGCAGCUAACGCAUUAAGUUCCCCGCCUGGGGAGUAC